Aedes albopictus (Asian tiger mosquito) is the source of this 5037-nucleotide long non-coding RNA. RefSeq lists it as uncharacterized. The record is from RefSeq and is a predicted model, not a curated record. The transcript has 3 exons. Lineage: Eukaryota; Metazoa; Arthropoda; Insecta; Diptera; Culicidae.
GGUGAAAUGUGCAGGGUUGCAUAAAUUUCUAAUCAUCACGUGCCAGACGCCGACGACGAAUCAUCCGAAUCGUAUCGGGGGCGUCGAUGGAGAAGCUUGGCCAGCCAAGUCGCCGCAGCGAGAUAGCGAAACGAACGAACCCAAACGCAUUCACGCUUCGAGUCAGCCGCCUUAUCGACGAGAGAGAGAGCGAAAGAAAACGAGGAAGCAAAAUGUGCGUCACGCACCAGCACCAUUUUUUCGCAUCGGGGUGCGUUUUGAGCAAGGUCAGGACUGGUGGUCAAUCGGACACCAUCAACGGGCAUGGUCUGAAUUAGUGGUCAGUCGUCAGUAGCAAUCACAGUUCUAAAAACCGUGGGAUGCGUAUGAGAUUCGACCGCGUUGCUGCUCUUGCGGUGACACCGCCGCCGGAGAGGAGAGUGAGAAGAAAGACGCGCGUAAGCGAACAAAAGGGAGAGAGCCGGUCGCUCUCACGCACUGCGUGCCUCGCCGGCAUCGUCGAGAGAGGGUGGGAUACAAAAAGUCGCGUUGGGUAACGAACGGCGGAUCAAGCCGGCAAAAAAAAACACGCAUUCUGAAUGGAAAGGGUGCUUUUCAUUACAUAAUCCCUUUGAAUAGGUAGAUGACGAUGGAUAGAAUCGAAAUUAAGCUGGGAAGGGGUCAGACUAUUUUGACCACAGUCAAAUGCUUCCGGUCGGUCAAACUCGAACACUGGACGAAUGAAACGUUGCCACUCCUAAUGCCCUAAUCGUGCAUUGGAAUGGGACGAAUGGUGCGUUUAAGAUAGGGUGCGUUCGUUUGUAUGCCCAUUGAAAUUCAUUCGGGAACGACGACGACGCGACGUGACGGGCUGUGACGAUUGAUGACGAGAGCGAACGAGCUUGAACGAUUUUGUGCGAAUCUAGCUCAAGGUCGCAUACCGCAAGCGAACGCGAGCUAGACGGCGGCCGCGUUGCAAACGCAUACACGCAUUGUGCGUUUAGUAGAUAAGCGAGAGGAAAAAAAUCGCACAUCCACAAGCACCAGCCAUCGAAGCGAGAAGAAAAAAAAUGUAAACAUUAUUAAAAUAUUAGCCGAGCUGCCUUGUACGCACAGGCAAAAGGAAGGAUGAAUAAAAUAAAACCCGCGACUUGCCAAUUUUUUUUUCGCGAACAUUGUGCGAAAAUUAAAGAGACCCGAAUGUGAGUAUGCGUUUUUUCGGUUUUCUCCAUUCCGAGGUGCGUGCGUCUGCGUGUGCCAUGACGAAAUCGAUGCGCCGCGCCGAGAACGAAAGCGAGAGUGGUGGCUUUUUGGCACUCUAAACAAAGCAGGCGUGCGUUUCGCACUCUUCCACGCAUCCAUUCCGAUCGAGGGGGAAGCGAAUGCCUAGACAAAAAAAAAAAUGACCCGACGCACCGCGGCGCGGCGGGUAUUGAAUCACCGAUCUUCGCAGCGUGACCAACCGGCGAAAGAUGCGAAGGAGCAAGAAACCAGAAAUGCUCACGCAUUAUCGCUGUUGUGCGUCUACUGUUGCACGUUUGCUUCGACUCUCUCUCUAUCUCUCACUCUGCGUUUUUUUUUCUGGGUCGGGUGCGUCUGGGCUUCGCGAAAUAAAUCGCGAACCUGCGCGUGCGACCCCCGCGCUCUCUCGCGUCGCGCACCCCUUCUGUUCCAUAUUACGGUUGCGGGGUGCGUUAACGCAGCGUGGCCUCGAAAUUCGCGCAGAAAGUAGGUCACGAUGCGUGUAUUGGUCGUUCGCUUGGUUCGGUCGAUUGCUGGUCGUUCGACCGGCGGACGGCGAGGAUUAGACAAGGGAAAGAAGCAGAAAUGUGCGUUUUUUUUUUGCGAAUGCGAAUGCGUGCGGUCGUCCGAAUUUUUUUGGCGGGGAGACCUUGUGUAUGCGUGAGUCGCUUCUUUUUGGUGGCAGUUGUUGGGAUUUCGCACAGUUGUUGCAGGUUGGGUCCGUUGAAAGUGAAAACCGGCCCCGCAGUGUUUGCAGUUACGGUGCUCCGAGUAGGUCUCGCGGAGUCGUCCAGAUGCGGUUCAAGAACUCGGCUCUAGAUAGAUGCGUGCGAGCGGAGUGUUUGUGCGUUGGUGGCGGCGCGGUCAGCUCGGGUGACACAGUUGACCUAGUUUUGGUGGACGCGUUAUCUAUGGGGGGAUUGUUAACAAGUGCGAAACUCGUGCAUCCAACUGCGCCUCAACCACCGCCACCAAAACAGGACUACAAAUCCUCUCAGGAACCAGCCGGAACUUGACACACGCACGUUUUCGAACCCUCCGAACUAUUCCGAUUCCCGACCAGCUCUUUAUGCUAAGCUACACACUAUUCUCGACACUAGCAACUGGUGGACUCCAUCACCAUCCGUAGUGUACGACGUCGUCCCGUGAAACCGCGUAAGAGGAGAGUGUUUGAGCUCUAGUUUGAGUGUGGAAACCGCUGCUGCUGUUGCCUCUAUUGAUGUUGCUGGCUGGCUUGCUGGCUGGCUGCUGAUGAUGAACAACGCGUUUGCUAUGCUGCCUCUGCUGCUGCUCUACCGCCACACGUACCUACUGUGAACUCAUCGCCGCGGCGCGGUGUGCUACUACUCUCCUCUGCUGCCCUAUUUAGGCUGGGCGGGUGGACGACCACGGAUGACGCGGACGCGGGUAGUAGUGCCAACAGGAGAGAAGGAAAAACGGGAUACGCGCCAGCAUACACACGCCUCUAUCGAGGGGAAGAAGAAGAACGUACAUCGCGCGGGUAAGAAGAUUUCCGCACGUUGAUUCGCGAGGUUCGCAAAAAUUAAUUACCUUCCGCCGCUCUUUCGCCGCAACCAAAACUGAUGAUGGAAGAAGCCACGGUGACGUUGCGCGCUAUCCCUCCGCUUCAGGUAGACCCCCAGUGCGUCCCCGUCCCCCGUUCCCAAAAAUGAUUGAUGUUUCGUGAUGUGCUUUCUUUUAGGUGGACUGGGAAGUUUUUUGACCUGACUGACGACCACGUCAGAUGAUGGAGGAUCUAAUCGGAAACGAUGCGAUGCAAUUGCUGGCCCCUGGGGGAAAGGUCAACUGUAGUUACGAAAGGUCCCUUAUUAACCUGAGAAUGCUCCCACUCUUCCCUGCAAUGCCCUACGACCGCUGGCAAUGCAAUAUGAUAUCGCGUUGCACCGCGAUGGCCCUCGCCGCUAAUCACACACAGCGUGCACACACGCCCAAGUGCAAUCCGAGAAGCAGGAGAAGUAGAACUGAUAGCGUCGUAUGUAGGUACUCUUAUCACCUUAUGGUUGGCCUCGCGCGCGCGCCCGCCUCGACUCGCGGAAAGCUUGGAAAGUUUUGUUUUCAGCAGCAGCAACGCGCGGACGUUGCGUUGUUUGAUUACAAACACACGUACCUAGUAGUGAGUAGGUAUCAUCACAUCAAUCCGAGUCAGAGAGUCCUCGCGCCGUUCGACAACAACGCAACCCUCCUGUAGGUGACCGCGACGAUGCGACACCCUUGUCGUGUGAGCGAGCAAGGGGACGGACGCACCAGCCCUUAUUGUGUGGCCCUUGGUGGACGCGACGACCCCGCGAAACUAGUUUCGCAUCCUGUCGCGUUUUUUUGUGUGUUCUGAAAUUCGCCGCGUUCUACCCUAACCAUGUGAAUGGACUGGAUUGGGCUGGACUGGACUGGACUGGUGGAUGCUGCGAUUUAAAAGGGCCGGUAGCGAACAGGUUCAUCCCAGCUGAUUCCCGGCGGACGAAUUGGGAAAUGAUGUUGGAGGAAACGAAUUCCUGGAAUUUGGGAUGAUGAAAUCAGUGCGUUGUUGGAGUAAAACGAUCCGCUCAAAUGUCUCCUUGCCACAGCGCAGAAAAUUGGAACCCUUCAAAUGUCUUUUGAUUCCUCCGAGCGAUAGCUAAGAACGUCGAGUAAACGCCGUGAUGUAUGCAGCACUCAAACCAUUUAAUUAGUUGGCGUGUUACGUAUUUCUAAACCGAGUCAUUUCUUAGAGGGGGCGCACUGUCCCGACCACCUCAUUGAAUCGCUGCAGUCGCGGCCGGCGAUGCACACGAGCCGCCACCACAAAGGUAGCAAUUUUACCUCUUCUUGUGAGCUUGUUCUCGUGGAUUCUGAUUUACUUUUUUUCUCUCGUUUUAGGAAUGCAUUUCGGGCCUUCGGCCCCGAUCAAGAUCAAGGACUCACUCAUGGGAUGAAGGUUGAAGUAUGGACGUGUGGGAGGUUGAGUCGGAAGGCCGCGCAUCUUCCGUCCGGGCCAGACCGGACCGAACGACGGAAACACGUGUUUUUCGCGGCUUUCGUGGAGAAGCUUCUUCGGCCGCCGGUUUGCAAAAUGGGAAAUACAUGUAUGAAAGAGCGAUGGGAUAUGGGAAGAGGAAGCCAAGAGCAAGACCAAGACGGCGCGGCGGUCUCGUCGCGCUGCCGCGCCGCGCUACGGGAUGAUGAUGGUGUAUAAGUGCAGUGUAUGUAUUAAUGCACUUUUUUCGCAUUCCACGACGACGGACGGCGAACUGCAGCAGCAGCAAUGAAUGGUUGUCUCGUUCUAGCCGGAACGAGCUCGGGUCGGUCAUCGCCAGCCAUACACACGCAAAGAGGCAGUAGUUCUCCUCGGUGGAUCGCAGAAGGCGAUGACGAAGGCUACGACGGCGACGAUCGGCUCCGGUUGCACUUUUCACGGUUGAUUCGAUUGCCGGCGUGCGCGAGGGGUGGCCGCGCUGCCGAAGGAACUUCGAGGAACUGCGAGAAAGAGCAAGUAUCAAUACGGCGACGACGGCAGCCGCAGAGUGCGAGGAAAAAACAAAAUGGUGGACAAUUUGCGGUCUGGUUCGGUGCAAGGAAUGUUGCUGCUGCCGGGAAGGAACCCGGGAACUGCAAUCGAUGCGGAAACAGUGGCUCCCGGAUGAGCUUCUGGGGGUUAAAGUUAAAGUCACGGACCGGGUCGGGCUAAUCCAAUUAGAUUGCAUGGGAGGGUUGCACUCACACAUAGCUAGAGGCAGACGAAAGUCUCGGCCCGACACGGGUUCCCCUUGGUAACAGAGAUCCAAAAUUGACAAACCUGUAUGGGGAGGUAAAUGCUAGAUA